UUGCAAUGAUGUUUGAAUUUCUUCACCUGAAGCUAUCCGUGAAGAGCACAACAAAACGAGCUUUUUAACCCUGAGCAAU
Molecule: small nucleolar RNA, 79 nt
Filed under: Salvator merianae (Argentine black and white tegu)
Lineage: Eukaryota; Metazoa; Chordata; Lepidosauria; Squamata; Teiidae
Source: RNAcentral